GACCCGAAACCGGGUGACCUAACCAUGGACAGGUUGAAGUGGAAGUAAAAUUCCAUGGAGGACCGAACCCACGUCUGUUGAAAAAGGCGGGGAUGAGCUGUGGUUAGCGGUGAAAUUCCAAUCGAACUCGGAUAUAGCUGGUUCUCAUCGAAAUAGCUUUAGGGCUAGCCUCAGGAUAGUUUAGCGGAGGUAAAGCACUGAAUGGGCUAGGGGGCUUCACGGCUUACCGAACCCUAUCAAACUCUGAAUGCCGCAUAAAUGUUUCCUGGGAGUCAGACUGCGUGAGAUAAGUUUCGUAGUCGAAAGGGAAAGAGCCCAGACCUACAGCUAAGGUCCCUAAAUGAAUUUAAGUGGAAAAGGAUGUGCAGUUGCGUAGACNACUAGGACGUUGGCUUAGAAGCAGCCACUCAUUUAAAGAGUGCGUAAUAGCUCACUAGUCGAGUGAUUGUGCGCCGAANAUGUAACGGGGCUAAAAUUCAUACCGAAGCUUAGGAAUGAUAGUAAUAUUGUUGGUAGAUGAGCGUUGUGUAAGUCUGCGAAGCUACACCGAAAGGAGUAGUGGAGAUUUCACAAGUGAGAAUGCCGGAAUGAGUAGCGAGAAUUAUGUGAGAAUCAUAAUGGUCGAAAAUCUAAGGUUUCUUGAGGAAGGUUCGUCCGCUCAAGGUAAGCCGGGAGCUAAGGCGAGGCCGAGAGGCGUAGUCGAUGCACAUACGGUAAAGAUUCCGUAGCCACCGAAGUUGUNAAAUACAGGGACACAGGAACAUAGCCUAACCCCACCGUUGGUUGAGUGGGGCGUAAGGGAGCGAAAAUUAGUAGCGAAGUGGGUGAUUGUACACUGGCGAGAAAAGCUGUAUGAAUUGACAAGGUGCCCGUACCGCAAACCGACACAGGUAGAUGAGGAGAGAAUCCUAAGACCAGCGGGAGAAGUGUUGUUAAGGAACUCGGCAAAAUGACCCCGUAACUUCGGGAUAAGGGGAGCCUACGAGAGUAGGCCGCAGAGAAUAGUCUCAAGCGACUGUUUAGCAAAAACACAGGUCUAUGCUAAAUCGAAAGAUGAUGUAUAUGGGCUGACGCCUGCCCGGUGCUGGAAGGUUAAGGGGAAGUGUUAGAGCAAUCGAAGCACUGAACUUAAGCCCCAGUAAACGGCGGCCGUAACUAUAACGGUCCUAAGGUAGCGAAAUUCCUUGUCAGGUAAGUUCUGACCCGCACGAAUGGCGUAACGACUUGAGAGCUGUCUCAACAACAUACCCGGCGAAAUUGAAGUACUGGUAAAGAUGCCAGUUACCCGUGAUAAGACGGAAAGACCCCAUGGAGCUUUACUGUAACUUGAUAUUGAAUUUUUGUAUUACAUGUACAGGAUAGGUGGGAGACAGAGAACUAAUGCCGCCAGGUGUUAGGGAGUCGAUGUUGGGAUACCACUCUUGU
This 1425-nucleotide ribosomal RNA is filed under the name human gut metagenome. Its description in RNAcentral is "bacterial LSU rRNA". It matches the Rfam family "Bacterial large subunit ribosomal RNA", at positions 712 to 2209 of the family's 2925-position model. The record is from RNAcentral.